This 433-nucleotide ribosomal RNA is filed under the name uncultured bacterium. RNAcentral's name for it is "partial 16S ribosomal RNA". It matches the Rfam family "Bacterial small subunit ribosomal RNA", at positions 29 to 507 of the family's 1533-position model. The record is from RNAcentral.
AACGAACGCUGGCGGCAUGCCUAACACAUGCAAGUCGAACGAGACCUUCGGGUCUAGUUGCGCACGGGUGCGUAACGCCUGGGAACCUGCCCUUAGGUUCGGAAUAACUCCCCGAAAGGGGUGCUCAUACCGGAUAAUGUCUUCGGACCAAAGAUUUAUCGCCUUUGGAUGGGCCCGCGUUGGAUUAGCUAGUUGGUAGGGUAAAAGCCUACCAAGGCGACGAUCCAUAGCUGGUCUGAGAGGAUGAUCAGCCACACUGGGACUGAGACACGGCCCAGACUCCUACGGGAGGCAGCAGUGGGGAAUAUUGGACAAUGGGCGAAAACCUGAUACAGCAAUGCCGCGUGAGUGAUGAAGGCCUUAGGGUUGUAAAGCUCUUUUACACGGGAUGAUAAUGACAGUACCGGGAGAAUAAGCACCGGCUAACUCCGUG